GCCUCAGCAGGCUGUUUGUAUCACUGAAAGCUCUAAAAGGUUUGCCAUCACUGUCCUAAAGGAUUUCCAGGCAAAAAUUCUUGGAAUCCAUAACUGCCAGUCCUAUUUUAAGGACAGAAAACAAUGACGUUACAAAAGAAAAUCGGAAAUUCGUAACAGUCACAAAAUUUGAAAGGAACUUUAAAAUUCCUAUCAGUGAAUAUCAUAUCAAAAGAAGAACAGAUAAGCAAAAUGUACUUUAUGCAUACAAUGGAAUAUUACCCAGCCUUAAAAGAGAAGAAAACUCUGACAUAUGCUAAACACCGUGGAUAUACCUUUGAAGACACUGUGCUACGUGAAAUAAACCAGACACAGAAAGAUGGAUAUUACAUGAUUUCACUUACACAAUGUUCUUAGAGGAGUUAAAUUCACACCAACAGAAACUAGAUUAGUGGUUGCCCAGGACUACAGGAAAGAGAAAAAUUCUGUUGCUGAGAAAUUCCUGCCAAAAGACAGACUAUAUUUGCUUCCCAGAUGUGCCCAACACCAUGCAUUCUACCAGAUAUGAUAAUUGAUGCCCAGGGAAAAAGAACAAGCUUUAGAGGGAAGACCAACAAACCAGAUGAUAACUUGUAGGAAACCACAAGAUAAAGAAGAAGAAAACUGGUGCAGUUUGGGUGUAAUGCUGACCCCAGAUCUCCCACUGAGCAGCAAUGAGAGAAAAUCCAGAGCCAGGCCCCUGCCUAAAGCCUAUGUGUGGAACUUCUUUCACCGCAGAGCAAAGCUACAGGAAGAAGCACACGAUGGAGCAAAGAAGCUGAAGGAUUGGCUUUGGGGACUGACAGGGGAAAAAAUCUGGUUCCACACCCUGAGCCAAUUAUGUAGACAUUGAAUUUAGUGUCCUUGUGUAUAAAUGAGGGCAAUAAAUAAAACAGUAAAAAAUAAAUAACUAAAGCAGUAGUCCCCACUUAAAAGUAGAGGAUAUGUUCAAAGAUCCCAGUGGAUGCCUAAAACCAUAGACCCAAACCCUAUAUAUGCAUUUUUUUCUCAUAUGCCCUGCAGUAUCACCACACAGUACCAGAGUUAAUCUGUCCUAGUUUUAUGCCAUAAUAACUUCUCUGCAUCACUACUUUAGUGUUUGGGGACCAUUAUUAAGUAAAAGAGGGUUAUUUGAACAUAAGCAUUGAGGUAGAGCAAAAGUGCAUCUGAUAGUCAAGAAAGCUACUAAGUGACUAAUGGGCUGGUAGCACAUACAGUCUAUUCACAUCCUGGGCAGCACAGGACAGCAUGGGAUUUCAUCAUGCUACCUGGAAUACUUAAAUCUUAUGAAUUAUUUCUGGGAUUUUCUU
Molecule: long non-coding RNA, 1328 nt
Organism: Heterocephalus glaber (naked mole-rat)
Lineage: Eukaryota; Metazoa; Chordata; Mammalia; Rodentia; Bathyergidae
Source: RefSeq, a predicted model, not a curated record